Molecule: ribosomal RNA, 564 nt
Filed under: uncultured bacterium
Lineage: Bacteria
Description: bacterial SSU rRNA
Rfam family: Bacterial small subunit ribosomal RNA
Source: RNAcentral
CCUACGGGAGGCAGCAGUGGGGAAUCUUGCUCAAUGGGCGAAAGCCUGAAGCAGCAACGCCGCGUGCGGGAUGAAGGCCCUCGGGUUGUAAACCGCUUUCAGCAGGAACGAAUCUGACGGUACCUGCAGAAGAAGGUCCGGCCAACUACGUGCCAGCAGCCGCGGUAACACGUAGGGACCAAGCGUUGUCCGGAUUUAUUGGGCGUAAAGAGCUCGUAGGCGGUUCAGUCAGUCGGGUGUGAAAACUUCGGGCUUAACUCGAAGCAUGCAUCCGAUACUGCUGUGACUUGAGUCCGGUAGGGGAGUGGGGAAUUCCUGGUGUAGCGGUGAAAUGCGCAGAUAUCAGGAGGAACACCGGUGGCGAAGGCGCCACUCUGGGCCGGUACUGACGCUGAGGAGCGAAAGCGUGGGUAGCAAACAGGAUUAGAUACCCUGGUAGUCCACGCUGUAAACGUUGGGCACUAGGUGUGGGCUCUAACCAACGGAGUCCGUGCCGCAGCUAACGCAUUAAGUGCCCCGCCUGGGGAGUACGGCCGCAAGGUUAAAACUCAAAGGAAUUGACGG